RNAcentral lists this ribosomal RNA (428 nucleotides) under uncultured prokaryote. Its description in RNAcentral is "bacterial SSU rRNA". It matches the Rfam family "Bacterial small subunit ribosomal RNA", at positions 355 to 774 of the family's 1533-position model. The record is from RNAcentral.
UGGGGAAUAUUGCGCAAUGGGGGAAACCCUGACGCAGCGACGCCGCGUGAGCGAUGAAGGCCUUAGGGUUGUAAAGCUCUGUUUUAGGGGACGAAUGUCCAUGUGAGUAAUAUGCGCGUGGAAUGACGGUACCCUAAGAGGAAGCCCCGGCUAACUACGUGCCAGCAGCCGCGGUAAGACGUAGGGGGCGAGCGUUGUCCGGAAUUACUGGGCGUAAAGAGCACGUAGGCGGGAACUUAAGUCAGAUGUGAAAGACCGGGGCUCAACUCCGGGAUUGCAUUUGAAACUGGGGUUCUUGAGGGCAGGAGAGGAAAGCAGAAUUCCUGGUGUAGCGGUGAAAUGCGUAGAAAUCAGGAGGAAUACCAGUGGCGAAGGCGGCUUUCUGGACUGACCCUGACGCUGAGGGACGAAAGCGUGGGUAGCAAACA